UGACGAGCACGCCGCGUGAGUGAGAAGGUUUUCGGAUCGUAAAGCUCUGUUGUAAGAGAAGAACGAGUGUGAGAGUGGAAAGUUCACACUGUGACGGUAUCUUACCAGAAAGGGACGGCUAACUACGUGCCAGCAGCCGCGGUAAUACGUAGGUCCCGAGCGUUGUCCGGAUUUAUUGGGCGUAAAGCGAGCGCAGGCGGUUAGAUAAGUCUGAAGUUAAAGGCUGUGGCUUAACCAUAGUACGCUUUGGAAACUGUUUAACUUGAGUGCAGAAGGGGAGAGUGGAAUUCCAUGUGUAGCGGUGAAAUGCGUAGAUAUAUGGAGGAACACCGGUGGCGAAAGCGGCUCUCUGGUCUGUAACUGACGCUGAGGCUCGAAAGCGUGGGGAGCAAACA
This 395-nucleotide ribosomal RNA is filed under the name Streptococcus cristatus. Its description in RNAcentral is "bacterial SSU rRNA". It matches the Rfam family "Bacterial small subunit ribosomal RNA", at positions 384 to 774 of the family's 1533-position model. Lineage: Bacteria; Bacillati; Bacillota; Bacilli; Lactobacillales; Streptococcaceae. The record is from RNAcentral.